AGUUUGAUCCUGGCUCAGAUUGAACGCUGGCGGCAGGCCUAACACAUGCAAGUCGAGCGGAUGAAGAGAGCUUGCUCUCUGAUUCAGCGGCGGACGGGUGAGUAAUGCCUAGGAAUCUGCCUAGUAGUGGGGGACAACGUUUCGAAAGGAACGCUAAUACCGCAUACGUCCUACGGGAGAAAGUGGGGGAUCUUCGGACCUCACGCUAUUAGAUGAGCCUAGGUCGGAUUAGCUAGUUGGUAGGGUAACGGCCUACCAAGGCGACGAUCCGUAACUGGUCUGAGAGGAUGAUCAGUCACACUGGGACUGAGACACGGCCCAGACUCCUACGGGAGGCAGCAGUGGGGAAUAUUGGACAAUGGGCGCAAGCCUGAUCCAGCCAUGCCGCGUGAGUGAUGAAGGCCCUAGGGUUGUAAAGCUCUUUCAGUGGGGACGAUAAUGACGGUACCGGGAGAAUAAGCUCCGGCUAACUCCGUGCCAGCAGCCGCGGUAA
Molecule: ribosomal RNA, 493 nt
Filed under: uncultured bacterium
Lineage: Bacteria
Description: bacterial SSU rRNA
Rfam family: Bacterial small subunit ribosomal RNA
Source: RNAcentral